RNAcentral lists this ribosomal RNA (492 nucleotides) under uncultured bacterium. RNAcentral describes it as "partial 16S ribosomal RNA". It matches the Rfam family "Bacterial small subunit ribosomal RNA", at positions 29 to 507 of the family's 1533-position model. The record is from RNAcentral.
AGUGAACGCUGGCGGUAGGCCUAACACAUGCAAGUCGAACGGCAGCACACUAAGAGCUUGCUCUUAUGGGUGGCGAGUGGCGGACGGGUGAGGAAUAUAUCGGAAUCUACUUUUUCGUGGGGGUUAACGUAGGGAAACUUACGCUCAUACCGCAUACGACCUACGGGUGAAAGCAGGGGAUCUUCGGACCUUGCGCGAUUGAAUGAGCCGAUGUCGGAUUAGCUAGUUGGCGGGGUAAAGGCCCACCAAGGCGACGAUCGGUAGCUGGUGUGAGAGGAUGGUAGGCCACCCUGGAAGUGAGCCGCGGUCAAGGCUCCUACGGGAGGCAGCAGAGGGGAAUGUUAGACAAUGGGCGCGAACCUGGUCCAGCCAGAGGGCGUGGGAGGAGGAAACCUUGGGGUUGGAAAGACCUUUUGUUGGGAAAAAAAAGCAGCAGGUUAAUACCACGCUGUUGUGACGGUACCCAAAGAAUAAGCACCGGCUAACUUCGUG